This 429-nucleotide ribosomal RNA is filed under the name Gemmatimonadota bacterium. Its description in RNAcentral is "Gemmatimonadetes bacterium partial 16S ribosomal RNA". It matches the Rfam family "Bacterial small subunit ribosomal RNA", at positions 355 to 776 of the family's 1533-position model. Lineage: Bacteria; Pseudomonadati; Gemmatimonadota. The record is from RNAcentral.
UAGGGAAUCUUCGGCAAUGGACGAAAGUCUGACCGAGCAACGCCGCGUGAGUGAAGAAGGUUUUCGGAUCGUAAAACUCUGUUGUUAGAGAAGAACAAGGACGUUAGUAACUGAACGUCCCCUGACGGUAUCUAACCAGAAAGCCACCGCUAACUACGUGCCAGCAGCCGCGGUAAUACGUAGGUGGCAAGCGUUGUCCGGAUUUAUUGGGCGUAAAGCGAGCGCAGGCGGUUUCUUAAGUCUGAUGUGAAAGCCCCCGGCUCAACCGGGGAGGGUCAUUGGAAACUGGGAGACUUGAGUGCAGAAGAGGAGAGUGGAAUUCCAUGUGUAGCGGUGAAAUGCGUAGAUAUAUGGAGGAACACCAGUGGCGAAGGCGGCUCUCUGGUCUGUAACUGACGCUGAGGCUCGAAAGCGUGGGGAGCAAACAGG